GAGGGACAGAAUUUAUACUUUCCUACUGGUGAAUAUUUCAUAUACCUGAAAUCUUUAAAAGAUACUAGAAAACACCCGUGAUAUCGCGGGUCUGUGAAUGAAUUAAAGUAUAUAACUAUGCGCAAGCCUUAUUUUAGUAUUAGUAUUCAAGUUGUCAUCUGAAUGAAGUUGAAUUCUUUGAUUCGCUGUUUUAUGUCAUGCAUGCCCACAAACAAAUUGAAAACUGUACCUAUACGCCUUAUUUUUAGUCCAGAUUUGUUAUCUUUGAAAGUCUUACUGAUUAAAAUACUACAAUAGGUAACAAUUUGACAAUUUAGUAGUGUCAACCCUGUGAUUAUGACCGUGUAUAUAGCAUAUUAAUCCUGAAUACACCGUUUGGUGGUGAGCCUGUCAGAUGCGGAACAUACAGAUAAGGUAAUAGGUAACAGGUGAAUAUACUAUUGGUAUCUGUAUCGGACUCGAACCGGAACUUCUUAAUUAUUGGCAAUAUUAAUUACGUCAAAAACAAAAGGGCCUGGAGAGUGGUGUAAUUUUUAAUCUACACUUUUGUACUAUAUUAGUUAAAUAUAAAGUUGAAUUAUUUGAUUCGUCGUUUUUACGUGAUGACGGCUGACAAAUUGGACCUCGUAAUUUUAGUAUUAUAGAUUUUACAUGCCCAUAUGCAAUAUUGAGCAAAAAUAAUAGUACUGUUGUUCACAUAGACAAGGGUCUGGAUGGGGUCUUCUGCAUUUCUUUAUCAUUUAAUCUUUUAGUUCAUUGGUCUCUAUUUUUUUUAUACUUUUUGUCCAUAAUUUUUCUUUCCUCAAUAUAUAAAUUAGCACAUCAAAAGUUCAAAAUGAUUAUGACCAGACCUCUGGCUUGCUGCUAGGAAUAUUUUUUGAUUUUUUUCUGGGAUGCAUAGGAAGGUGUCCCAGAAAAAAAGUAGUCUAUGGUCCGCAAAUAGUCAAAAAAUAACAUAAGGACCUAAGAGCUACGGUUCUGCAGCUAGCAUGUCAUUUGCUCUUUUUUUUUACUUAUUUUAUGGUAAAUUUUCUCUAUUCUUGUUCCUUUAGUAACAAUUCUCUAAUUCUUUAUACGUUUUAAUAGUCAUAGUUCCCAGUGGCAGAUCCAGGGAUAGGGUUCCAGGGAUUGGAAUCUCCCUU
This 1142-nucleotide long non-coding RNA is filed under the name Mytilus galloprovincialis (Mediterranean mussel). Lineage: Eukaryota; Metazoa; Mollusca; Bivalvia; Mytilida; Mytilidae. The record is from RNAcentral.